CCUACGGGAGGCAGCAGUGGGGAAUAUUGUGCAAUGGGCGCAAGCCUGACGCAGCAACGCCGCGUGCAUGAAGAAGGCUUUCGGGUUGUAAACUUCUUUUCUCAGGGACGAAGCAAGUGACGUUACCUGAGGAAUCAGCCACGGCUAACUACGUGCCAACAGCCGCGGUAGUGCGGAGGGGGCAAGCGUUAUCCGGAUUUACUUGGUGUAAAGGGCGGGGAGGCGGGACUGCAAGUCAGAUGUGAAAACCACGGGCGCAACCUGGGGCCUGCAUUUGAAACUGUAGUUCUUGAGGACUGGAGAGGCAGACGGAAUUCCUAGUGUAGCGGUGAAAUGCGUAGAUAUUAGGAGGAACACCAGUGGCGAAGGCGGCCUGCUGGACAGCAACUGACGCUGAGGCGCGAAAGCGUGGGGAGCAAACAGGAUUAGAUACCCCAGUAGUC
This 443-nucleotide ribosomal RNA is filed under the name uncultured bacterium. RNAcentral's name for it is "partial 16S ribosomal RNA". It matches the Rfam family "Bacterial small subunit ribosomal RNA", at positions 338 to 795 of the family's 1533-position model. The record is from RNAcentral.